This is a long non-coding RNA of Daphnia pulex (common water flea), 467 nucleotides long. RefSeq lists it as uncharacterized. NCBI's taxonomy places the organism in Eukaryota, Metazoa, Arthropoda, Branchiopoda, Diplostraca, Daphniidae. The record is from RefSeq and is a predicted model, not a curated record. The transcript has 2 exons.
GCGGACCGUGUCUUGUUGUGUUUACAAAACCAGGAAUGCUUUCUCUCUCCACCCGUUUCAUCGUCUUAUCGCAACAACAUUUUUACCGUUGCACAGACAGAAGAAGAAAACAACAACCGGGAAUGUCACGACAAACAGGUUAAACAUAGAAAAGCAAGUCAAACAAACGUACCGCCGCUGGAUGGACAUCAAAAUACUCUUUUCGUUGGGGAAGACGACUAGAAUUUCCAUGCAACCCUCCAGGAAGUCGACGGGUGUGUCUUCCGUCACCUGGAACUGCUGGUGAGAAGAAGACGACAUAAUUGGUGAAGAGGUCAUCGGCGGCGGGGCCGGCACCAUCUUCAUUUCGUGUUUGUCUUAUUCUGUUUUCUUCCUUUGUCGUUUCUUCUCUUUUUUUACUUCAGAAGGGCGUGUCACGCUGCGGCGCUGCUAUUGGAUAGACCUACGCGGCUAUCCCAUUGAGGACC